RNAcentral lists this ribosomal RNA (434 nucleotides) under uncultured bacterium. Its description in RNAcentral is "partial 16S ribosomal RNA". It matches the Rfam family "Bacterial small subunit ribosomal RNA", at positions 29 to 507 of the family's 1533-position model. The record is from RNAcentral.
AGCGAACGCUGGCGGCAGGCCUAACACAUGCAAGUCGAACGAACCUUUCGGGGUUAGUGGCGGACGGGUGAGUAACACGUGGGAACGUGCCUUUAGGUUCGGAAUAACUCAGGGAAACGUGUGCUAAUACCGAAUGUGCCCUUCGGGGGAAAGAUUAAUCGCCUUUAGAGCGGCCCGCGUCUGAUUAGCUAGUUGGUUGAGGUAAUGGCUCACCAAGGCGACGAUCAGUAGCUGGUCUGAGAGGAUGAUCAGCCACAUUGGGACUGAGACACGGCCCAAACUCCUACGGGAGGCAGCAGUGGGGAAUCUUGCGCAAUGGGCGAAAGCCUGACGCAGCCAUGCCGCGUGAAUGAUGAAGGUAUUAGGAUUGUAAAAUUCUUUCAACGGGGACGAUAAUGACGGUACCCGGACAAGAAGCCCCGGCUAACUUCGUG